RNAcentral lists this ribosomal RNA (369 nucleotides) under Triticum aestivum (bread wheat). RNAcentral's name for it is "partial small subunit ribosomal RNA". The record is from RNAcentral. Lineage: Eukaryota; Viridiplantae; Streptophyta; Magnoliopsida; Poales; Poaceae.
AUGAAGAGAAUAUGUCUCUGUUUUGAUAAACCGGAGACAAAAAGCGGAGGAAUAGGUUCUGUCGAAAAGAUUGCAGAAUGUACGAACGAUUUCUUCGUCAGUCUUUUCUUGCAAAACUGGAGGAUGACAAAUGCGGAACAAGAAGAAUCCGAUUCGCCAUUGCCACAGGCCUCACUCAGCCAGAGAGGCAUGAUGCAAUGUCGAAUUGGAAUAGACACAUCCACAUCACUGGAGGUUGAAGAAACAAGAACGAUUUUCUGCUCACAUCCAAGACAAUUUCAACAUCACAAACAACGACAAAAAUUCGAGGGCCUCUUUGGUUCACAGAAAUUCAGAACACGUUACACAUUGGAAAUAGGUAAAACAUAG